Molecule: small RNA, 127 nt
Filed under: Marmota monax (woodchuck)
Lineage: Eukaryota; Metazoa; Chordata; Mammalia; Rodentia; Sciuridae
Source: RNAcentral
GCUGGGCAUGGAGGCACAUGCCUGUAAUCCAAGUGGCUCUGGAGACUGAGGCAGGAGGAUCGCAAUUUCAAAGCCAGCCUCAGCAAUUUAGUGAGGUGCUAAGCAACUCAGUGAGACCCUGUCUCUA